AUUCCCUCAUACGACUCGAAAUUGUUCCGUGAGUAAAGACGCUUUGGAGCUUUGAUCGAAUACUCUCAAUACUCUGAACGUAUUUAAGGUAAGUCAUGCAAGUACUCACUGUAGUUACUUCAUUUCUCGAUGUAUACGAGUGACCUGAAUUACACCACUACGUACAGUAUGCAGUCAGUGAACGGUAUCAGGAACUUGGGCAAAAAGAUAUGCGACUCUUUUGCAUCACAACCCAGUUAUAUCGAUGCUGAGAGAUCGAUGGCGAGAAAUUUCAUAUCUUCGGUUCUGUGCAUGCUAUGAAGACAGAAAUACCACCAUUCGAUUCAG
Paramuricea clavata is the source of this 327-nucleotide non-coding RNA. The record is from the annotation of a GenBank genome assembly. Lineage: Eukaryota; Metazoa; Cnidaria; Anthozoa; Malacalcyonacea; Plexauridae.